UCACGCCUAGGAUUCCAUCCAGUUGCUGUCCACUGCACGACCGUUGAAGUUGUCCCUUGCACCUCGCGGGUGAAUUGGUAGAGUCUAUCCCUUGUGCAUACUUCCCUAUCUCAAGUGUCUCUUCUAAUCCAAGCCAGGAUCCCCAAUUUCUUUAUUUUUUUUUUGCAACCGGCAAGAAAAAAAACCACCAAAAACUCAAAAUGCAUGAGAGCAGCAGUCUUAUGGUCACCUACAUGAUCCUCCUCCUUCUCCUGGCCCUUCUCUGGAUGCUCUACGCCGGUGUCUUUUGAAUACCAUGAUCCUGUGCUUAAUCUAGAAUAUGUGGAGUGCUUUAGUCUUCUAUCAUUCACCCCAUCAUUUCUCCAAAACAUUCACCAAGGAUUCAAUGGAUUACAAAUUCUGAAAAAAAUAUGAUGUAGCCAUCGAGGGGGAAGGAGGGCGAAUUUCGCCACCAUCCUUGGGAAUGUUUGAUCAUCCACAUAUUUAUCAAACAUCUCGCUGUUUCUUCAUGCAAAAAAAAACGACAAUCUCAACAUAAUCCUCUAACCAUCCGAAGCUGAUUUCGUACUAACAAAUCGUGUCUGGAAAUUUAUCAAAUAUGCAUAUCUUAUUGAAUAACAAAUCAAGAAAAAAACUUCAUUAAUUUUUCUUUGUAUAAAUUUUAUGUUUAAUGCGUUCUUUUGAAAAUUAAUGAAAAAGGAAUAAUCAAAAACUUGUAACUCGUUCGAAGCAAAAACAAAUUCUAACAUCACAAAAAAAUGCACCAUCCCACAGCUUUGUCAACAAAUACAAUAACAAAAAAAAUGAUUGGUAAAUUUUCUCUAGAAUAUAAUCUAUAAAAUGUAUUUUUGUCUCUAGGUUAAUUAAGGCACAUUUAUAAAUAUGUAAAUUAUAUCAUAGUUGUUUUAAAAUAUGGGAUAAUCUUAGAAUAUUUAUUACUAUAAAUUGUUUAAAAACAAAAACUUUACAUGUCACUUUACAAUACUUUUUUUUUGGAAAAAAAAUGUUUUAGAAGAAGCAUUUAAAAAUGAGGGAUAUAUUUUGUAAGAUUAUAUAUUUAGCUAAGAGAAGCCAAAUAGAAAUACCAAAAUAUUGCUAUUUUCUUAAAUUGUUAUACAGAGAGGUUAAAGAUGAAGUGAAAGCAGUUUUCUGUGUACGACGAAAUUCACAAUGUGAGAAAAAACCCAGAUUUUUAUGAAUUUCGAAUAAAAGCAGUAUAAUGUCUGAAA
This is a long non-coding RNA of Phlebotomus papatasi, 1229 nucleotides long. RefSeq lists it as uncharacterized. The transcript has 3 exons. The record is from RefSeq and is a predicted model, not a curated record. NCBI's taxonomy places the organism in Eukaryota, Metazoa, Arthropoda, Insecta, Diptera, Psychodidae.